CUCUGCUCUCUCACUCCGCCACUCAUGCUCCCUGAGCUGCUUGAGUGAGGAGAGCUGAAAGAGCUCUAGCCCAUGGCGUACUUCUGCGUCCACCCCCUUGCCGUGGACUCGUAUCUGAGGCGGUCGGUCUUGCACAUGUGCGCGAUCUCCGGCACCAGCGGGUCGUCCGGGUUUGGGUCCGUCAGCAGCGAGCAAAUGGAGAGCAGGACCUUGGAGAUGGUCAGCGCCGGGCUCCACUGCUCCUUGAGAAUGUCCAGGCAGAUGUUGCCGUUGCUGUUAAUGUUCGGGUGGAACACCUUCGUCUUGAACGCCACCUGUUUCAUUUGUUCGUGGUUUUCAUUCAUUCAGUUCGUCGUCGUCGAUGAGCAUGAGAUUCUCAGCUCAGACUUCAUAACAUUGCAUAAUUCAGCGAAAUUUUGGAGAUGAAGAGUGGGUGAGUACCUUGGGAGGCUUGAAUGGAUAGUCUGGAGGGAAGUGGAUGGUGACCAGGAACACGCCUCCAGAGUAGGGGCUGUCGCUGGGGCCGAUGAUCGUCGCUUGCCAGUGGAAUAUGUCAUCAGACACAGGGCCUGAUCACAAAGAACAGUUGAACCAGAAUUCAGAAGAAAGAAAAUUCAACUUUGAACUUCCUUUUUCUUUGGGGUCUGAAAUUGUAUGCCUGACCAUGUGUACAC
Molecule: long non-coding RNA, 674 nt
Filed under: Setaria viridis
Lineage: Eukaryota; Viridiplantae; Streptophyta; Magnoliopsida; Poales; Poaceae
Description: long non-coding RNA (SVIR_LNC000198)
Source: RNAcentral